RNAcentral lists this ribosomal RNA (468 nucleotides) under uncultured bacterium. RNAcentral describes it as "partial 16S ribosomal RNA". It matches the Rfam family "Bacterial small subunit ribosomal RNA", at positions 28 to 507 of the family's 1533-position model. The record is from RNAcentral.
GACGAACGCUGGCGGCGUGCUUAACACAUGCAAGUCGAACGGAAAGGCCCUGCUUGCAGGGUGCUCGAGUGGCGAACGGGUGAGUAACACGUGGGUGAUCUGCCCCUUACUUUGGGAUAAGCCUGGGAAACUGGGUCUAAUACUGGAUAGGACCAUGCUGUAGGUGGUGUGGUGGAAAGAUUAGUUUCGGUAAGGGAUGAGCUCGCGGCCUAUCAGCUUGUUGGUGGGGUAAUGGCCUACCAAGGCGUCGACGGGUAGCCGGCCUGAGAGGGUGGACGGCCACAUUGGGACCGAGAUACGGCCCAGACUCCUACGGGAGGCAGCAGUGGGGAAUAUUGCACAAUGGGCGCAAGCCUGAUGCAGCGACGCCGCGUGGGGGAUGACGGCCUUCGGGUUGUAAACUCCUUUCAGCCAUGACGAAGCCUUCGGGUGACGGUAGUGGUAGAAGAAGCACCGGCUAACUACGUG